This 549-nucleotide ribosomal RNA is filed under the name Pantoea sp. LL41. Its description in RNAcentral is "bacterial SSU rRNA". It matches the Rfam family "Bacterial small subunit ribosomal RNA", at positions 212 to 728 of the family's 1533-position model. Lineage: Bacteria; Pseudomonadati; Pseudomonadota; Gammaproteobacteria; Enterobacterales; Erwiniaceae. The record is from RNAcentral.
CUCUCACUAUCGGAUGAACCCAGAUGGGAUUAGCUAGUAGGCGGGGUAAUGGCCCACCUAGGCGACGAUCCCUAGCUGGUCUGAGAGGAUGACCAGCCACACUGGAACUGAGACACGGUCCAGACUCCUACGGGAGGCAGCAGUGGGGAAUAUUGCACAAUGGGCGCAAGCCUGAUGCAGCCAUGCCGCGUGUAUGAAGAAGGCCUUCGGGUUGUAAAGUACUUUCAGCGGGGAGGAAGGCGACGGGGUUAAUAACCCCGUCGAUUGACGUUACCCGCAGAAGAAGCACCGGCUAACUCCGUGCCAGCAGCCGCGGUAAUACGGAGGGUGCAAGCGUUAAUCGGAAUUACUGGGCGUAAAGCGCACGCAGGCGGUCUGUUAAGUCAGAUGUGAAAUCCCCGGGCUUAACCUGGGAACUGCAUUUGAAACUGGCAGGCUUGGAGAAAAGCGAUACGGUUAAUAUCCCCGUCUAUUGUGAUUACCCCCACAAAAAACACCGGCUAUCUCCCUGCCACCAGCCGCGGUAAAACAGAGGGUGUAAACGCGUUA